Molecule: long non-coding RNA, 1035 nt
Filed under: Mus spicilegus (steppe mouse)
Lineage: Eukaryota; Metazoa; Chordata; Mammalia; Rodentia; Muridae
Description: lncRNA (ENSMSIG00000018234.1)
Source: RNAcentral
GGCUCUGAGAGAGUCAGGGAUGAAGCAGUUUGUGUUUUGAGAUGGUCUUUUUUAUGUAGCCCAGGCUGGCAGCAAUCUUGUGGCAAUCCUGGCUUAGCCUCUCCCACGUGCUAGGUUACGCGUGUAUACGUCACACCCAUCCAAGGCUAUUUUAUUUUGUGUUUUGUUGUGUUUGUUUUUUUUGUGUUGUUUGUUUGUUUGUGUUAAGACAGGGUUUCUCUGUAGCCCUGGCUGUCCUAGAACUUCCUACAUACAGCAGGCUGGCCUCGAACUCGGAGAUCCACCUGCCUUUGCCACCGGAGUCCUGAUAUCAAAGGCGAAUGCCAGCACCGCCAGGCCCAAAGCACAGUUCUUAACAUCCAGGUCUGAUGGGAAAGAACAGAUCCUCACCCUGGAUGAGACAGGGCACCUCACCACUCCUGUCUGCCGUUUCCGAUCAGCUGAUCUACAUCCUGUUGCUUCACUCCUACUGAUGCUCAAGUCAGUGCCGGUGAGGACCCAGGCUGCGUAGGUCCGUGGUACCAGUGUCUGCCAUUGAUUAUUAAGACACUACUGCAUGUGCGACACUACUCCAAAAGACUCCACGUGUGUCUAUUUUUUUUUUCCCUCAGUCCCUCGGUUCACACACCUGAGCGUGUGGUGAGUUUACGUAGGGAUCACGUGACUGGAUGAAGCUGAAUGACAGGAGUCGGGGUCCCCACAGUCCGGUUUCUGCCUUCUGUUGCAAGGAGUUCGCCUAGCAAGACUCUGGAAAGGGGGUUCCCCUGCACCUCUCCUCACCUCCUACAGCAGCCAGUAGGGAUGGCCCGCCAUUGAGAAGCCUGUCAAAGCUGUGCUCUCAGCAUCCGGGCUGCUUCUGUGCUACCGCCAGUGCCCAGCAACCACCAGGGACUGGGCAACAGCAAAAGUGAAGCUGACUCAGCCGGUUUCCACCCCCGCCCAGGGAAAUGGGGAGCAGCCUCGGCUGGACAACAACCAAUUAGGCACUUUUUAUUGCCCACGCUGUCAUAAUCCUUCAGAGCUUGGCUGGGAGGA